This is a long non-coding RNA of Xenia sp. Carnegie-2017, 443 nucleotides long. RefSeq lists it as uncharacterized. The transcript is spliced from 2 exons. The record is from RefSeq and is a predicted model, not a curated record. NCBI's taxonomy places the organism in Eukaryota, Metazoa, Cnidaria, Anthozoa, Malacalcyonacea, Xeniidae.
GGUCUUUCUGAAAUUCUCACGGAAGAAAACCAAAUUACAUGGUGCUAAUUGCUACCGCCGACAUUCCACCCCACCCAGACUCAAAAUAUACAUUAAUGUACACAAACACACCUAACUGAGGCUAACUCACAAUUGACUGACUUGACGACGCAAAGACGACGAAUACAAGAAUUUUAAACCAGGAAGUUGAAUAACCUCAACCGUUUAUUGAUAAAGCAAAAGCCUAAACGUUUUGGUGAGUUAAAAAUCAUUUCAUUUUUAGAUGUGAAGUGUUAAGUUGUAUAUUACUGAAGGAAAUUUCAUUUUAUACGCUUUAAAUUUGCUGUGUAAUUUUCACGGAACUAUGUAAUUGGCUGCUUCAGGAUCUUUAACGUUGAACAUGAGGCAACAGUUUUAAUAAGAAUAUAGUUUAAUAUUAUUGUUUAUUUAAAAAUGAAAAAAUA